RNAcentral lists this ribosomal RNA (484 nucleotides) under uncultured bacterium. Its description in RNAcentral is "partial 16S ribosomal RNA". It matches the Rfam family "Bacterial small subunit ribosomal RNA", at positions 30 to 507 of the family's 1533-position model. The record is from RNAcentral.
AUUGAACGCUGGCGGCAGGCCUAACACAUGCAAGUCGAGCGGAUGAAGGGAGCUUGCUCCUGGAUUCAGCGGCGGACGGGUGAGUAAUGCCUAGGAAUCUGCCUGGUAGUGGGGGAUAACGUCCGGAAACGGGCGCUAAUACCGCAUACGUCCUGAGGGAGAAAGUGGGGGAUCUUCGGACCUCACGCUAUCAGAUGAGCCUAGGUCGGAUUAGCUAGUUGGUGGGGUAAAGGCCUACCAAGGCGACGAUCCGUAACUGGCCUGAGAGGAUGAUCAGUCACACUGGAACUGAGACACGGUCCAGACUCCUACGGGAGGCAGCAGUGGGGAAUAUUGGACAAUGGGCGAAAGCCUGAUCCAGCCAUGCCGCGUGUGUGAAGGAGGUCUUCGGAUUGUAAAGCACUUUAAGUUGGGAGGAAGGGCAGUAAGUUAAUACCUUGCUGUUUUGACGGUACCAACAGAAUAAGCACCGGCUAACUUCGUG